Molecule: unclassified non-coding RNA, 327 nt
Filed under: Hevea brasiliensis (rubber tree)
Lineage: Eukaryota; Viridiplantae; Streptophyta; Magnoliopsida; Malpighiales; Euphorbiaceae
Source: RNAcentral
UAUGAUUCAACAGUAAAGGUGACUACUGGAAUCUAUUUCUACUCUAAGCACAGAAACAAUUUAAGUUGAAGGGAAACGGAAUUUAAGUUGCCAAAUAAAAAAAUUAAAGUUUUUUCAAAAAAAUACUAGUAAAAUAAUUCUGUAUCCUCUCUCCAUGUAAAUGCAUGAAAGGAUAUAAAACAAUUGCCUUAGUUGAACAAACCUAAAUUGAAAAUAUUUUGAUGCAUGAUUGAACUCUGAGAGAUUGCAAGAAAGACAAAAUAUAGAAUCAAAUAAAAACUAAAAAUACAUCAAGAACUUGACAAGAAAAAAUCAAUAGACUGGUUG